GGGACGAAUUGAAAGAGAGUAGAAUAAGUGUGCUUGAGGUUAUUAUUGUUGGAUUGAGAGAAAACUAAUAGCUGACAAGGUCUAUGAAUCUUAUGGUGCAAAGGCAAUGCGUUUGGAUUCAGCAUAUAUGGAGUAUAUAACUGGGCUUCAUUUUGACUGUCCUUAUGGUAAUUGAUAUUUGCUUUGUUUGCAGGAUGAUUCCUUACAAAGACUAAGCAUGGAGUGGCAGCUUUCGCUGGUGUGAAUUGAAGGCUUAUGAGGGGAUUCUUGCACUAUAUGAUAAGACAAGAGAAUGGUUAUUCCUGAUGCUCUCAAGUUUUGCAGUAG
This 327-nucleotide long non-coding RNA is filed under the name Gossypium raimondii (Peruvian cotton). RNAcentral describes it as "long non-coding RNA (GRAI_LNC002726)". Lineage: Eukaryota; Viridiplantae; Streptophyta; Magnoliopsida; Malvales; Malvaceae. The record is from RNAcentral.